ACAACAUUCGGACCGUCGGUCUACCGAACAACCCGCCCGGCGAAAGAUCUUCCCUUUGUCGU
Molecule: microRNA precursor, 62 nt
Filed under: Bombyx mori (domestic silkworm)
Lineage: Eukaryota; Metazoa; Arthropoda; Insecta; Lepidoptera; Bombycidae
Description: mir-2774 microRNA precursor family
Rfam family: mir-2774 microRNA precursor family
Source: Rfam by way of RNAcentral